This 2937-nucleotide ribosomal RNA is filed under the name Chlamydia trachomatis. Its description in RNAcentral is "23S ribosomal RNA". It matches the Rfam family "Bacterial large subunit ribosomal RNA". The record is from RNAcentral. Lineage: Bacteria; Pseudomonadati; Chlamydiota; Chlamydiia; Chlamydiales; Chlamydiaceae.
CCAAGUUAAUAAGAGCUAUUGGCGGAUGCCUUGGCUCAUGGAGGCGAAGAAGGACGUGAUAAGCUGCGAUAAGCUCCGGGGAGCUGCACAUAAGCAAAGAUCCGGAGAUAUCCGAAUGGGGAAACCCGGUAGAGUAAUAGACUACCAUUGCAUGCUGAAUACAUAGGUAUGCAAAGCGACACCUGCCGAACUGAAACAUCUAAGUAGCCAGAGGAAAAGAAAUCAAACGAGAUACCCUAAGUAGCGGCGAGCGAACGGGGAAGAGCCUAAACCGAGCUGAUAAGUCUCGGGGUUGUAGGAUUGAGGAUAAAGGAUCAGAACUCCUAGUUGAACACAUCUGGAAAGAUGGAUGAUACAGGGUGAUAGUCCCGUAGACGAAAGGAGAGAAAGACCGACCUCAACACCUGAGUAGGACUAGACACGAGAAACCUUGUGGGAAGCAGGGGGGACCACCCUCCAAGCCUAAAUACUAUUCGGUGACCGAUAGUGAACCAGUACCGUGAGGGAAAGGUGAAAAGAACCCCGGGUAGGGGAGUGAAAUAGAACCUGAAACCAGUCGCUUACAAGCGGUCGGAGACCAAUGGCCCGUAAGGGUCAAGGUUGACGGCGUGCCUUUUGCAUAAUGAACCUACGAGUUACCAUCUCCGGCGAGGUUAAGUGGCAUCAUCCACGCAACCGCAGUGAAAGCGAGUUUUAAAAGAGCGAAGAGUCGUUUGGUUUAGACCCGAAACCAAGUGACCUACCCAUGACCAGGUUGAAGCACGGGUAAAACUGUGUGGAGGACCGAACCAAUAAGCGUUGAAAAGCUUCUGGAUGAGGUGUGGGUAGGGGUGAAAGGCCAAUCAAACUUGGAGAUAGCUCGUUCUCCCCGAAAUAGCUUUAGGGCUAGCCUCGGAUGUUAAGCUGAGGAGGUAGAGCACUGGAUUAUUGCGGGGGCCUACCGGCUUACCAACGGAAAUCAAACUCCGAAUACCAGAAGCGAGUCCGGGAGAUAGACAGCGGGGGCUAAGCUUCGUUGUCGAGAGGGGAACAGCCCAGACCGCCGAUUAAGGUCCCUAAUUUUAUGCUAAGUGGGAAAGGAUGUGCUGAUUCGAAGACAGCUAGGAUGUUGGCUUAGAAGCAGCCAUUCAUUUAAAGAGUGCGUAACAGCUCACUAGUCGAGAGGCAUUGCGCCGACAAUAUACGGGGCUAAGCAUAAAACCGACAUCGCGGGUGUGUCGAUAAGACACGCGGUAGGAGAGCGUAGUAUUCAGCAGAGAAGGUGUACCGGAAGGAGGGCUGGAGCGGAUACUAGUGAAGAUCCAUGGCAUAAGUAACGAUAAAGGGAGUGAAAAUCUCCCUCGCCGUAAGCCCAAGGUUUCCAGGGUCAAGCUCGUCUUCCCUGGGUUAGUCGGCCCCUAAGUUGAGGCGUAACUGCGUAGACGAUGGAGCAGCAGGUUAAAUAUUCCUGCACCACCUAAAACUAUAGCGAAGGAAUGACGGAGUAAGUUAAGCACGCGGACGAUUGGAAGAGUCCGUAGAGCGAUGAGAACGGUUAGUAGGCAAAUCCGCUAACAUAAGAUCAGGUCGCGAUCAAGGGGAAUCUUCGGAGGAACCGAUGGUGUGGAGCGAGGCUUUCAAGAAAUAAUUUCUAGCUGUUGAUGGUGACCGUACCGAAACCGACACAGGUAGGCGAGGAGAGAAUCCUAAGGCGCGCGGGAGAACCUUCGUUAAGGAACUCGGCAAAAUAACCCCGUAACUUCGGGAGAAGGGGAGCCUUCUUAGGUGACUAUGGAACGAUAGGAGCCCCGGGGGGCCGCAGAGAAAUGGCUCAAGCAACUGUUUAGCAAAAACACAGGUCUAUGCGAAACCGGAAGGUGAAGUAUAUGGGCUGACGCCUGCCCGGUGCCGGAAGGUUAAGGGGAAAUGUUAGCCGCAAAGCGAAGCAGAGAAUUUAAGCCCCGGUAAACGGCGGCCGUAACUAUAACGGUCCUAAGGUAGCGAAAUUCCUUGUCGGGUAAGUUCCGACCUGCACGAAUGGUGUAAUGAUUUGGACGCUGUCUCAACCAUGGACUCAGUGAAAUUGUAGUAUCGGUGAAGAUGCCGAUUACCCGCGAUGGGACGAAAAGACCCCGUGAACCUUUACUAUAGCUUUGGCAUUGACCUUGGUCAUCCGAUGUGUAGGAUAGGCCGGAGGCUAGGAACACUCUUCUUCAGGAGAGUGGGAGUCAACGUUGAAAUACUGGUCUUAACAAGCUGGGAAUCUAACAUUAUUCCAUGAAUCUGGAAGAUGGACAUUGCCAGACGGGCAGUUUUACUGGGGCGGUAUCCUCCUAAAAAGUAACGGAGGAGCCCAAAGCUUAUUUCAUCGUGGUUGGCAAUCACGAGUAGAGUGUAAAGGCAGAAGGGAGCUUGACUGCGAGACGGACAGGUCGAGCAGGGACGAAAGUCGGGCUUAGUGAUCCGGUGGUAGAGAGUGGAAUGGCCAUCGCUCAACGGAUAAAAGGUACCCCGGGGAUAACAGGCUGAUCUCCCCCAAGAGUUCAUAUCGACGGGGUGGUUUGGCACCUCGAUGUCGGCUCGUCACAUCCUGGGGCUGGAGAAGGUCCCAAGGGUUGGGCUGUUCGCCCAUUAAAGUGGCACGCGAGCUGGGUUCAGAACGUCGUGAGACAGUUCGGUCCCUAUCCAUCGUGGGCGCAGGAAAUUUGAGAGGAGCUGUCCCUAGUACGAGAGGACCGGGAUGGACGAACCGAUGGUGUACCAGUUGUCUCGCCAAUGGCAUAGCUGGGUAGCUACGUUCGGAAGGGAUAACCGCUGAAAGCAUCUAAGCGGGAAGCCUGCUCCAAGAUAAGGUAUCCCAAUGAGACUCCAUGUAGACUACGUGGUUGAUAGGUUGGAGGUGUAAGCACAGUAAUGUGUUCAGCUAACCAAUACUAAUAAGUCCAAAGACUUGGUCUU